AACUUUUGGCAAUGGAUCUCUUGGUUCUGGCAUCGAUGAAGAACGCAGCGAAAUGCGAUAAGUAAUGCGAAUUGCAGAAUUUCAGUGAGUCAUCGAAUCUUUGAACGCACAUUGCGCCCUUUGGUAUUCCGAAGGGCAUGCCUGUUCGAGCGUCAUUAUCACCUCUCAAGCCCGGCUUGUUGUUGGACAUUAGGUCCGGGUUCACCCCCGACCGGUCCCAAAAGUAAUGACGGCGUCCGUGGGACUCUCGGUGCAACGAGCUUUUCAAGCACGCACAGGAGUUGAAAGGUCCCCCGGCACGGUCGACAACCCAUUUUUCUAAGGUUGACCUCGGAUCAGGUAGGAAUACCCGCUGAACUUAAGCAUAUCAAUAAGCGGAGGCU
Molecule: unclassified non-coding RNA, 383 nt
Filed under: uncultured Cyphellophora
Lineage: Eukaryota; Fungi; Ascomycota; Eurotiomycetes; Chaetothyriales; Herpotrichiellaceae
Description: sequence contains ITS2
Rfam family: 5.8S ribosomal RNA (bases 1-155)
Source: RNAcentral